GAACGCGUGGAGCAUGUGGCUUAAUUUGACUCAACGCGGGAAAUCUUACCGGGUCCGGACACACUGAGGAUUGACAGGCAAUAUUAAUACGUGUUCGCACGUAUUAUGUUAAAUAUGCUAGUCCUUUCAUGAUUAUGUGAUAGGUGGUGCAUGGCCGUUCUUAGUUCGUGGAGUGAUCUGUCUGCCUAAUUGCGUUUCACUAAGGGCCUAUAAAUUUACGUGUGUUGCGGCACUUUGACCCCUUUCUUCGGAAAGCGCGUGUCUUAGUUUGCUUUGCUCACACAAUUAGGUCCUGAAAGCAACGAACGUGACCGCAACCUCUUGUUGCCUUUAUACCAAACAUGUUUGUCAUUUUUAUGGCAUUCAUGAAAAAAGGCUUUUUAAACUAGAGGGACCGCUGUUACUUUCUUAAACCAGAGGAAGGUUGCGGCAAUAACAGGUCUGUGAUGCCCUUAGAUGUUCCGGGCUGCACACGUGCUACAAUGAUUAUUGCAGUGAGCAUCUCAUUUUUACACACCGCAUGCGCGAGUCCAUUUAUUCACUUCGGUGCUUUAAAUGUGUAUUUCUGCGCGCGGUAAAGCCUGCUUCGAAAGUAAGCGGGUAAUCAAUUAGAAGUAAUGAUUUCCUUUUUAGCACACAUAUAUACGGCGUCUAUACCCGGGUUACCUUGUUGUAACUUUUGUGUGUAUAGAUGUUUUUUCCGUAUGUGCGAUUGUCAAUUCAUGGUGGGGACAGACCAUUGUUAAUUGUUGGUCUCGGUCUUAACUAGGAAUGCCUUGUACGGGUCUUUGGUUCAACAAACCACCCGGAAUACGUCCCUGCCCUUUGUACACACCGCCCGUCGCUCUUACCGAUGGACUUCUCUGUGAGUUUGAGGGACUGGGAACGCAGAAUUUAUUCUGCACACCUAUGGAAACUUAAACGAACAGUGUGGUCUAAAGGAAAGAGAAGUCGUAACAAGGCAUCGGUAGGUGAACCUGCAGAAGGAUCA
RNAcentral lists this ribosomal RNA (991 nucleotides) under Cibicides pachyderma. RNAcentral describes it as "SSU rRNA". It matches the Rfam family "Eukaryotic small subunit ribosomal RNA", at positions 1170 to 1828 of the family's 1831-position model. Lineage: Eukaryota; Foraminifera; Rotaliida; Cibicididae. The record is from RNAcentral.